RNAcentral lists this transfer RNA (83 nucleotides) under Lactobacillus acidophilus. RNAcentral describes it as "tRNA-Tyr". It matches the Rfam family "tRNA". From Rfam's summary of the family: Transfer RNA (tRNA) molecules are approximately 80 nucleotides in length. Lineage: Bacteria; Bacillati; Bacillota; Bacilli; Lactobacillales; Lactobacillaceae. RNAcentral also lists the same sequence under 1 other name. The record is from RNAcentral.
GGUAGAAUAUGCAAAUUGGUAACGCGAACAGUCUGUAAAACUGUUGACUUCGGUCUUUGUAGGUUCAAGUCCUACUUCUACCA